This 166-nucleotide non-coding RNA is filed under the name Candidatus Portnoybacteria bacterium RBG_19FT_COMBO_36_7. Its description in RNAcentral is "6S RNA". It matches the Rfam family "6S / SsrS RNA". From Rfam's summary of the family: E. coli 6S RNA was the first non coding RNA to be sequenced, but its function was unknown until recently. It consists of 184 nucleotides that fold into an extended hairpin structure with a large single-stranded internal bulge. Lineage: Bacteria; Candidatus Portnoyibacteriota. The record is from RNAcentral.
AAAUAGCUUUGCUGCUUGUGGCUUUCAAAUGAUCUUGGAUCAAAUUGUUUUUCAAGGGAGUCUUUAUACAACAGCGUUGCUGAUUCGUUCAGAAUGCCGUUGUGCGGACACCCACCUGGAUUUUAGCCGGGAUUCAUAUUGAGAGCUGUGGUAGCAAGGCUUUUUU